Ornithorhynchus anatinus (platypus) is the source of this 138-nucleotide small nucleolar RNA. NCBI's taxonomy places the organism in Eukaryota, Metazoa, Chordata, Mammalia, Monotremata, Ornithorhynchidae. The record is from RefSeq and is a predicted model, not a curated record.
CUCCUCUCAGGAUGGCAGCUGGAGAGUUUCCAGUACUCUACUAGUCUCAGCUAUGGGAGGAAGAGACAAGCAGAGGCCUACUCAUUCCAUUCCUAGCUUGGCCAGUGGCUAGAGAGAGGAAGACAAUCUACUACAUAU